AACGCGAAGAACCUUACCCAGACUUGACAUGCAGAAGACAGUCCUAGAAAUAGGAUCUUCCUUCGGGACUUCUGCACAGGUGCUGCAUGGCUGUCGUCAGCUCGUGCCGUGAGGUGUUUGGUUAAGUCCAGCAACGAGCGCAACCCUUAUCAUUAGUUGCCAACACGUUAUGGUGGGAACUCUAAUGAGACUGCCCGGGUUAACCGGGAGGAAGGUGAGGAUGACGUCAAGUCCGCAUGGCCCUUAUGUCUGGGGCUACACACGUGCUACAAUGGUCGGUACAGAAGGCAGCGAAGCCGCGAGGUGAAGCAAAUCCAAAAAACCGAUCCCAGUUCAGAUUGUAGUCUGCAACUCGACUACAUGAAGAUGGAAUUGCUAGUAAUGGCAGGUCAGCAACACUGCCGUGAAUACGUUCCCGGGCCUUGUACACACCGGCUAC
Molecule: ribosomal RNA, 439 nt
Filed under: uncultured bacterium
Lineage: Bacteria
Description: bacterial SSU rRNA
Rfam family: Bacterial small subunit ribosomal RNA
Source: RNAcentral